UUAGAGUUUGGAAUCUGGCUCUAGACGGAUGGGCCGCGGCGUGCCUAAUACAUGCAAGUCGACCUCUUAUUUCCUCGUGAGUGGGUGCCCUCAAUUAGAAAGAGGAGUGGGGGACGAGUGAGUAACGGGUGAGUAACCUACCCAUCAGAGGGGGAUAACGGGGGGAAAACAGGUGGUAAUGGCGCAUAACAGUUUAUACCGCAUGGCAUACGAAGGAAAGGCCCUUUCGGCUUUCGCUGAUGGAUGGACCCCAGGUGCAUUAAGUAGUUGGUGAGGUAACGGCUCACCAAGGCCGCGAUUCAUAACCGGCUUGAGAGGGAGAUCGACCCCCCUGGGAAUGAGACCCGGCCCCAACUCCUUCGGGAGGCAACCAUAGGGAAUUUUCGGCAAUUGGGGACAGUCUGGACGAACCCCUCCGCGUGAGAGAAAAAGGUCUUUGGGUUGUAAAAGUCUGUUGUUAGAGAAGAACAAGGUCGUUAGUAAUUGAACCUCCCCUGGCGGUAUCUAACCAGAAARCCACGGCUAACUUCGUUCCAACAACCGCGGUAAUUCGUAGGUGGCCAGCGUUGUCCGGAUUUAUUGGGCGUAAAACGACCGCCGGCGGUUUUUUAAGUUUGAUGUGAAAACCCCCGGCUCAACCGGGGAGGGUCAAUGGAAACUGGGAGACUUGAGUUCAGAAGAGGAGAGGGGAAUUCCAUGUGUAACGGUGAAAAGCGUAGAUAUUUGGAGGAACUCCAGUGGCGAAGGCGGCUCUCUGGUCCGUAACUGGCCCUGAGGCUCGAAAACGUGGGGAGCAAACAGGAUUAGAUUCCCUGGUAGUCCCCGCCGUAAACGAUGAGUGCUAAGUGUUGGAGGGUCUCCGCCCUUCAGUGCUGCAGCUAACGCAUAAGCACUCCGCCCUG
This 902-nucleotide ribosomal RNA is filed under the name Enterococcus faecalis. Its description in RNAcentral is "bacterial SSU rRNA". It matches the Rfam family "Bacterial small subunit ribosomal RNA", at positions 9 to 873 of the family's 1533-position model. The record is from RNAcentral. Lineage: Bacteria; Bacillati; Bacillota; Bacilli; Lactobacillales; Enterococcaceae.